Molecule: ribosomal RNA, 250 nt
Filed under: uncultured bacterium
Lineage: Bacteria
Description: partial 16S ribosomal RNA
Rfam family: Bacterial small subunit ribosomal RNA
Source: RNAcentral
AGUAACACGUAGGUAACCUGCCCAUGUGCCCGGGAUAACUUCUGGAAACGGAUGCUAAAACCGGAUAGGUAGCAGACAAGCAUUUGACUGCUAUUAAAGUGGCUAAGGCCAUGAACAUGGAUGGACCUGCGGUGCAUUAGCUAGUUGGUGAGGUAACGGCCCACCAAGGCGACGAUGCAUAGCCGGCCUGAGAGGGCGGACGGCCACAUUGGGACUGAGACACGGCCCAAACUCCUACGGGAGCAGCAUG